Molecule: long non-coding RNA, 5731 nt
Organism: Orcinus orca (killer whale)
Lineage: Eukaryota; Metazoa; Chordata; Mammalia; Artiodactyla; Delphinidae
Exons: 4
Source: RefSeq, a predicted model, not a curated record
GCGCCGCGGUGGUGCGGCCCCCGCGCUCGGCCACCUGCCGGGUCGGCUCCGCGGCGGCCGCUGCCGUCGCCGCCCGCCGAGGGCGGGACGAAGGGUCGCGGGCUCCUGCAAACAACAGAGAUUAAAUCAGCAUUUGAUAUGAGAAUUUGACCUGGGAAUCUGCAUUUCUUCACAGAUAGUUUCAGGUAAUUCUCAUGCACACAGUCACCCCUUUGAGAAACACUGAAUAACACAAUGAAAAAUAAUAAAAUAUAUCAUUUUUCCUAAAACUGCUAAAGAUCAGAGCCUGAUAAUGCAAAAGUCUUUUUAAUAUUUUGAAACUUUUUGGAAUUUCUGCUAAUGAAUUAUUUUAAAAUGUGAUUUUUAAAAAUCAGAAUAUAAAUAAUCUUUAAGAAACUGAUAUUGGUCACUGUUUGAAGUAUAUUACUCUGAAUUUGAUUUCUGUAUCCUUUUGGCUAUAAAGGAGACAACUCUAAAUGGCUAUCAAUUGCUACACUAGUUCUUUGUACCAAUUCUGACAAAAGCCUAAUAAUUCUUUCCAUCAAAAGUUAGGACUCAUAGCAUAUUCUCAAGAAGUAGGUAAGAUUUUUGUGCACUAGAAUAAUCCAGUUAAACUAAACCGUAUUGCAUUGACCUAUGUAGUACUAAAUGCAUGACAGUAAUCCUUUGUUAAAUUCAGACUAAUUACACUGGAUUAACUGGGCAAAUAUUAUGAUCUAUUAUAAUAUUGUUUAUAUGCUCCUGAUUAUAUUUUCAUUAUUUUUAUGCAUUUUGGAAGUGCAGCUGCUUAGCCAAUUCAGGAGUAGGAGGGAGAACUUCAGUGUUUUGAAUUCGACGGAAUGACUUAUUAGCCCAUAGUUCACUGGACUGAGUGUCACAUUUGUGGAAUUUCACAUAUGUUAUUUUCAUAGAAGUCCAGGAUCAGUUUAAUAUAUGUGCAGUUGUGUCAUAAUAUAGUAGUUAACUAUUCAAGAAAAUUCAACCAAAUUUUAUUUUGUUCACUGAUGGUGGCGUACUGAUUUUCAAAUGCAUGAGCCUAUCACUUGGAAGUGAUAGGUUGGAACUUCCAACUCUCAGGUCUCCUUUGAGCUAAGAAACUUCAUCAAAAGGCUGCUUACAUCAGCUUUAUUACUCCCUUGUUUAAUCUGUUCUAAGUUAAUGAAGAUAAAAUUUGGCUUUCUGUUUUUCCUUCCAAAUCUUACAACACACAAACAUCUAUCUUAUGCAUUUUCAAGAUUAAAAAAAUUAGGUAAACACAUAUGUUUCAAGGAUUAUUAAUCGUCACAUUAUGACAAACAACAUUAUUUUUUACCUACCUAUAACCUGCAUGGUAUAGUAAUAAUAUGAUAGAUAACCCAAAGACCUUGACUUCAGAAGUGUGUACCCUGUAAGCAGAAACGGGAAAUGAAGAUUACAUUCAAACACCUAUAGAAAUAUAAUUCACACACAUUAAAGAGAUUUUAAAUUUUAUUUAUUGACUUAUACUCUACCUUAUUGCCCUAUCAAGGCAGCUUACCGAAAGAGGGAAGCUUACAUUCAGAAGGCAGCUUACAUUCAAAAAUAUGGCAUGAUAUUAAAAGAAACAAAUAGUUGCUUCUAAAUCUUCUUGAAGAGUCAGACUGAAAAUUCGAAUUCUCAUCUUCAUUAAGUUAAAACUUACGAUUUGAUGUUGGGGUUUGAACUUCAACCACACAUAUUCAAAUGUAAGAACAAGAGAUCCAAGUUUGUUGUAACAAAAAUAAACUCAACUAAUAUACACUAGAAGCUUCUAUUUACUAACACCUGAACAGUCCUCUGACUGCUCUUGUGUAUAAAAAGGGAAGGUAAAUAUGGUCAAACAUUUACAGAAACUGUAUGUCACUUAGACCUUCCUGAAAAAUCAAGUUGCUCAGCAACUCUCCCACUGGAAACACUGUUGAUAACACUGUUUUUUUGAAAUUUCAGUAAGGUAAAAGUGUUUAUCACUAAACUACCAAAGCAAGAUGACUGCCGUGCAAAUAAUAAGCCAUAGCAUAAAGACCUCCUAUUCACAAUACAUUGCCCUAAUUAAGACACAAACUUAAAAAUCAUACGCUCUGAUACAAACCCUUUGGUAACUAAUACCCUGUGUCAACCUAGAGUUGACAAUUUUUGAAUUUAUCACCGAGAGAGUAAUUCUAAGUCAAAAGUGGUUUUAUCAAAAGAAUUUCUCACCAGUGAAUGGUCCCCACAUCAUUCAAUUCCUUGUGUAGUGUCACAUCUAUUCCCUAGAAUGAAAAAAUAAAGCACUCUAAAAUAAAUCCCUCAAGAUAAUGAUUAUAGGUACCCUAGAAUUAUCUAAUGUUAAUAAAUGUACCAUCCUAUCUUGCUCUACUGUAAUUGACUAUUUUAUUUAUAAAAAUACCUAUUUAUUUAAUUAUAUGUGUGCCAUUUAUAAAAAUUAAGGAAUUUAUUCAGCAAAAAUUAAAUUCAGACUCUCAGUGGAUAUCUCCCAACUAAGUCAUGUUAGCCAUACACAUUACAAAAUGAAAUAAUACAUGCUUUUAGAAUCUCUGAAAAAAAAAUGUUUUGUAAACUGGAAAAAAAAACUACCUUUGGUAUCUUUCCUCAGUCAGUAGAUCAUCCAACAAUCUAUCUGUCUUUUGUAAUUGUGUGAUAUGCAUAUUACUAGUGUUAACAGAAUGACUGUAGCUGAUACAUGGUAAAUCUUUUGUUAUUUUAAUACUUUCAUGAUUAAUUUAAUGUGGAUUAGGCAAAAAUUAAAAAUAAACAUGACCAAAACAUUAAACUAGUGAUUUCAUUUAUGUUAUUUAAGUUGUGGCUAAAAGAGAUAUUUAAUUUUUAAAAGUAAGUCCAUUUUUGGAAAACUGAUAAGAAACUAAUAGUUUGGGUAGUGUGAAACCCCAAAAUCAUGAAGGUGAAAUUAAUGAUGUUAUGCCAAUUUUUAUAUGGUCAGUUUAUUCAAUGAUCAUAAUCAGUUGAACUUUGGUAAACACUUAUCUUUUAACUGACAGGAAGAAAACAAUUUAGAAAACUUAAACUACUCUUGUAGUUUUUAGCCAAUUAUGCAUCGCAAAGAAUUUCCUCUCCAAGUUCAGAAUUGUUAUGUGGGUUUUAUCAGUAAAGAGAGCAACUAGACAGAUUUCAUAAGAUCAGUAAUGUUUACAAAAUAGUAGGUGAUACCUGCCAGCAUUGUUAACACUGAGUAGGAGGGAGAGUCCAGGAUUUGAAAGUAUAAACUAGUGUUCUCUUCACCACUGUCCAGAAGAAAAUAUCUUUCAGUCAAGAAGCCCCUCCCCACAAAGGUUUAAGGAUAAUGGAAAGAAGUGGUAUAGACCAAUCUUCAAAGUCUCCCACUGUGCCCUUACUCUCAGGGGACCACAUCCUAAGAAAACAGACUCUAAAAUCAAGACAGGUACAUUACCAACAAAUAUAGCAGUAUGUAUAUGGAAGUGAAAAACUGGGGAACAAAAAUAAGAUAAUCCAUUGAAAGUUGCGGCAGCUAUGAGAACAGCCUACUGCAAGGUGGGAGGUGGUUGGAAAGCAUAUAACCAUCAAGUGAGUCAAGAGUAAUUAUCUACUGUGGGCAGUACUGCCAGUCAGUAGUCAAAAUCCUAGAAAGAUAUUGACAAUUCUUAUGAUAUUGAACUAGACUCCAAAUUCUCAAGAUUAUAAGAACAACCAUUUCCUUAGGUUUAAGUAAAAGGUAUUCCAAGAAUUUGAUAAAAUGGAAAAUAAAAAUCCAACCUCAAUUAUAAAUCACAUUCUUACUUAGAUCCAUGUGUAUAUAAGCAGACUACAGCUUAUAUACUUCUUGAAGGAAGUAUAAGAAAAAAUUCAGUUUACUUACAGAUGUAACAACUAUACUUCUAAAUUCCUUUCCAAAACCUGGUAGGAGUCAUGGUGGAAAACUGUACAGCAGCCCCUGGAAAUGAGUGUUUUGAUUUGGUGAGACUCAGGUUAAGACCCACAGACUGAUCACCCUAUAUAAUUUCCUCUAAGUAUGUAUAUCAAACCAAAGAGAGUGGCCACGUGGGAAGGAUGCUUACCCUUUCUUUAAAGCCUGAACAUAUCCUCAGCUAGAUCCUGAGGUAAGGGUUGAGGGUGGGGAUUGGUUCUAGCUUUUGUUUCAUAAGUUCUAAUAAAUAGACGUUUGUUUCUUUUGCUUUGUAGGUGGCUGUAUGCCUGAUUCAAUAGACCUCUCAAAGAGUGAUAAUGGGGUAAGAGAUUUGGUAGGGAGCUCUAGAAAGGACAAGGUUUGAGCUAUCUGAUGGGAAGCAAUUGGGUCAGACUGUUGACUUAGACCCAAGCUGUGCCACUGAUGGUGGGAAUAAGAGCAUGACUGAGCUGUAAUGAAAGAACUCAAUCAGAAUCUAGGCACCCUAAAACAGCUGUCUUAAAUUUAUGUACUCCCGAGGAGACACUUGGACAAAAGCAGUGGUUACAUUCACUUAACAUAAUUGAGUCAAUUACAUUAAUAAAAUGUGCUUAGCUGGUCAUAUCUCCUUUGAUCACUGUGAUUCAAGCCAUGUACAUUAGGUGUAAGCAGCAAUACCAUCUCUCCAGAGGAAGUAAAAAAUAGAUAACUGAGGACCACCUUUGGUAUUUCCACUCUAUCUCCUUUCAAUCCUCCAGUAUGGCCAGCUGAUAAAUCAUAAAUCAGAUGGAAUAUCAAGAUUUCUUGAUAAAAGUCUACCAAUUGAAUUAAGCAAUCACAACUUUGGCAAUGUUGCUCUCCCACCCCUAUAAAAUCUGGAUUCACCUACUAUUUGUCACAGAUUUAUUUACUGGGACUUUCAAUGAUGAGAUCAACCUAAGGACAUUACUAUCAUCAACCGCAUUGAUGAUAUUUAAAUGUUAGUAGGAUUUAAUGAAGCAAGAUAUCAACUUCUUAUUCACUAACAUCUCAACAAAAAGGAGAAGGGAUAAAUUGUUAUCCCUCCAAAAAACUUAGGGUCUUGCCAUGUAAGUGAACAUACUGGAAUUCCAAUGGAUGAGAGAAGGUAGAAUAUCUUUCCUAAUUAUACUCCAGAAUAUUAAACUGAAACCUCUAUCCUAACAUCCCAACCUUGACGGAGCCAGCAGCCUUGAGACAGCAUAUCUUGGCCUUGGGAAUUUGAUGUGCUGUAUGUACUAGUUAAGCUGGAAGUCUAGUAAAUUUGAGUUGAGGUACUUUUUUUUUUUUUUUUUUUUUUUGCAGUAUGUGGGCCUCUCACUGUUGUGGCCUCUCCCAUUGCGGAGCACAGGCUCCGGACGCGCAGGCUCAGCGGCUAUAGCUCACGGGCCCAGCCGCUCCGCGGCAUGUGGGAUCUUCCCGGACCGGGGCACGAACCCAUGUCCCCUGCAUCGGCAGGCGGACUCUCAACCACUGCCCCACCAGGGAAGCCCAAGCUGAGGGUCACCUUCUGAAAGGAUCUGAAGCCUUAAGAACUUCCUUCAGCCUUUGUUGUAAGAGCACAGGCUCCGGACGGGCAGGCUCAGCGGCCAUGGCUCACGGGCCCAGCUGCUCCGUGGGGGAUCUUCCCGGACCGGGGCACGAACCCGUGUCCCCUGCAUCGGCAGGCGGACUCUCAACCACUGCGCCACCAGGGGAGCCCUGGAUGUAGAAUUCUUGAUUUACUGUUCCUUUUCUUCCUGUACCUAAAAUAUGUCUUUCACUGACUUCUGGUCUCCAUUAUUUCUGAUGAGAAGUCAACUGUUAGUUAUAUUGUUUCUUUAUAUGAAAUAAAUCAUAUUUUCUCACUGCUUUCAA